This 253-nucleotide ribosomal RNA is filed under the name uncultured bacterium. Its description in RNAcentral is "partial 16S ribosomal RNA". It matches the Rfam family "Archaeal small subunit ribosomal RNA", at positions 474 to 727 of the family's 1478-position model. The record is from RNAcentral.
UACCAGCACCCCGAGUGGUCGGGACGAUUAUUGGGCCUAAAGCAUCCGUAGCCGGUUUUACAAGUCCUCCGUUAAAUCCAGCUGCUUAACAGAUGGGCUGCGGAGGAUACUAUAAGACUAGGAGGCAGGAGAGGCAAGCGGUACUCAGUGGGUAGGGGUAAAAUCCGUUGAUCCAUUGAAGACCACCAGUGGCGGAGGCGGCUUGCCAGAAUGCGCUCGACGGUGAGGGAUGAAAGCUGGGGGAGCAAACCGG